Molecule: long non-coding RNA, 9001 nt
Filed under: Ananas comosus (pineapple)
Lineage: Eukaryota; Viridiplantae; Streptophyta; Magnoliopsida; Poales; Bromeliaceae
Description: long non-coding RNA (ACOM_LNC017865)
Source: RNAcentral
AAGCUCUAAGCUAAAUAUGAAUCACACGUGAUAUUUGAUUUCAUUUAAACCAAAUUCAAGUAAACAAACUAUUACAUUCCAUUCGAUCAUCAUAUCUUUUUACAUAUAGUCAUCCACCAAAUACAUGAUUGUUUUCACUUUACAUACCUAAUUCAACAAAAAUAAAGUUGAUACAUGUAUAACGAAAGGGAAUGACUACAAAAUGCAUAAAGCCCCCGGUGGCCGCUACCUACGGCGCCAAACCCUUGCCUCGGUCCUCCGUCGCCCCGCUCGUGCUAGGACCUGUAGGGUUAGUGGUGUGAGAACUACAACGAAGUUCCCAGUGGGCUCGGCAUCCGAUCUCGCCGACUUACCCACUAGGUCUAUCCAGGCAUAAGUAUUUCAAAGGAAGAAGAGUAACCAUUACUAAUGCAACUAAUACUAUGCCUGCAAGAAAGAGUCAGUAGAUAUACAAUUUCAAUGCGAAAAUGAAAAUGCAUGCAUGCUCCAAUCAUAAUCGAACUUUGGCUCUUACCCAAUCUUACCGGUUAACUCUGUUAACCCCAAUAACUCACAACCCAAAAUCCCUUAAUAACGGGGGACUCGAACCUCCCUGGGGACCGUCAACUGGUGGGACUUUACCACGCCCAGUGGUGACCAACUCCGGAGCGCACCGCUCGAGGGGGAGCGACCUCCCUCAAGCCACGACGAAAGGUGAGUAUCGAUCUAAUCCUCAACUUGAGGACUCAUAGCCAUUAGUCACAAUGCCAAUAUCAUAAUAGGUCUCUACCUAUUUAUUCUUGCCACUCUCAAGGCGUUAUCUUCGACCAUGUCAUUACGGGUCAACUAAUUUCAACAGUCAUCUCUCAAUGCAAUUCUUGUCUCUAUGUCAAUGACACCCUUGUUUACUAAUUAUCCAAGACCAUUCUUACAUUCACACAACUUGAGGGUCCAAUCACACAUGUCCAUUUUGGUUGUAUCAUUCUCUAUGUUCAUCUACGUUAGAAGCAUACAAAUGAAGCCACACCAAGUUCCACAUGUAAUUACCCUACUAUGCAUGAAUGGAUAUGUGUAUAUGCUCAAGAAUAGGAAAAAUAGACAUAGAGGGGAAUCCAACGAUUCCGGCGUGCACCCCCCACCUCUAUCAGUCGUGUGGGUGUAGGAUAUUAAGGCCCCCGCACUUUACGAAAGCCGAUUCCGCGCCCUAUAAUCAAAAUAGUGCCGCAUUAGGCCUUUUUGUACAUGAACUAUACUCUAACAUUCUUGAAAUAUUAAACGAAGUUGCCCAACGCGUUUAGGGCACCCGCAAUUAGGUUUCUACGGGGUCAAUUUGUCCCCGAACAAUCCUAGGGCAAAAACCCCAAAUUCAAACCCUAACAUUGCCAUUUAGGGUUUUCCCAUGAAUCGAUCCCAACCCUAAGCAAAGAAUAGCAUAGGAUCAUCUAAGAAGCAUCCUAACAAGGUUUCUAGACCUUCGGUACCAACCCUAGGGCUCCAAACAUCACUUCCAAGGAUUCACCAUGAGAGCACCUUGAGCUCUCAUGGGUUGCAUGGUGUUCAUGGCUCAAAAGAGCUUCUAAAGCCUCUAAGGAGCACAAAGCUCCAAAUCUCUUAGCCAAAAUCCAAACCCUAGAGGAAAACCUUACAAAACUUACCUCUAGUCCAAGCUCCACCAAGAUUCUCCUCGUUGGAGAGCUCCUAGAACCUCCAAAGCCUCCAAAUCCUCCUCCUCUUCUCUUCUUCUUCUUCUUCUCCAAGUCCUAGAGCAUGGGUUCUAGAGAGAGAAAGAGAGGAAAUGGGUGAGAGGGUGGAAAUGGCUGUGGAAGAGAGGGGUGAGUCAUAUAUAGUGUUGUAACAAUUACUCUUAAGCCCCUCCACUUGUUUCCACUUGAACUGCCCAGACUCGGCAUUUUUCGCCUUCGGGGACCGGUCUCUUCUUUAGGGACCGGUCCCCGAGAGCUCAAAAUCUGGGACUUAGCCAGAUUUCCAGAUUUGCUCUCCGGGUCCCUUUUUGCUCCGUUCAUGGACUCCAAUGCACUUAGGGUCCACUUUAACUCGUUCAAUUCCACGUUCCGCUCGCUUUGACGGAACUCGGCACGACUUACGAGGGAUGUGGAGUGUUACACUCACAAAGCAAUAUGUUAAUGCAUAAAGAGUAAGCUCUAACCAAGCAACCGAGUAUACUACAAUGCAACAAUGCAAUCGGCAAGUAUGCUAUAUGUACCAAUGCUCUAUCGUGAGCAUGUCAAUGUAAUCCAACUACUAAACCUAUCUAGUAGUGAUUAACCGUUCUCACACCGUAUUGAUUUCUAUUUCCAAUUAAGGACCUACCAAAGGUAGUCCAGCUUGUGCCGCCUAAGUGUCUGUGGUAGCCCGACAUCCCUACUCUUGGAAUGUGUCUGUCCCACUCGACCCCGUAGGCUUCUCAAUACCACACGAGCGAACAAAAGUCGCAUAGGCCAACUCCGGAGUGCCGGCUUGUAGGGAGCGACCCUCACAAGCAUGUGCGAAUGAGCACAAAUGGCAAGCAAGCAUAGUCCAAGUCUCAAGUAUCCAAUCUCAUGUCUCUAACAUGGUACAGUCACUAGCAUCCCGAAGGUCUAGUUUAAUUCACAAUAUGAAGUUCCAAUAUUACGAAGUCUUGUGCCCCUUUGUGACACUUAGACAUUUAAAUGAACAAGUAUAUCCAACUCUUUCAAUGGCACUAUCCACUAGUUUUACACAUGACCCGAGUUCAAUGCCCCUUCAUGACAUUAACCCAAUUAUUCACGAAUAACACAAGUUCCCGAGCCUCUUUAUGGCUUACCAUGAACCUUUAAGUUCAAUAUCGGAAUAACCUUAAAUGCAUGCAAAAGGUACUCAUCCUCACAAUAGAAGUUACGAUUCCAAGUCUCAAAAGGAUGCCAAAUAUAUGCAAGUACUACAUGCUAGUUCUCUACUAUAUAGAGGUCCGAAAUUUUCUUACACAUAACAUAGGCAUAUGAAGCAUCCUAAAAUUCACAAUAAAUAUAUCUAACAUGAUUAUGCAUGCUUUUCCAAUUUACGAAACAUAUUUCACCAUAUAUGAGUAUUUCUCAUAUAAAGGCUAGGUCAAACCCACCGAACCGUCGCGUAGGGCUUCGAUUCGCCGAACGGAGUUGUCCACGAAUCUCGCAAUACCCUAAAAGUGAUCAGCGAAGAGAUACGAGGGCAUUACGACCAACUUAUAAUAUCAAACAUUAACCUAGAAGCAAAAAGGGCCAAAACUAACCUCAAGAGUAGAAAUCUCUUCCAAAGCUCCAAAAGAGAGCUAGAACCCUUCCAAUCCAAGCCCUAGGAAGGUUCUAAACCAAUUAAUCUAGCCUCAAAAGCCCUAGAUCAAAAAGCCCCAAAAUCAACCCUAAAUCUCAUUUCUAGGGUUUCAUCUCCCAAAAAUCACAAAAACAAGAAUCUAGAGGAGGGAAUCAUGAUACAAACCCUUUGGAAGCUUCAAUCCAAGCCCAAAAUGCCCUAGGGUUGAAGUUUGGUCCACCACUAAGCUCUACAAGCAAGCUCCAAGCCUUGCAAGAGUGGAAAGGAGAGAAAGGGGUUGAGCUCCAAGCUCCCUCAAGCUAGCCCUCUUCUUCUUCUCCUCCUUCUUCUUCUUCUCUCCUUCUUCUUCUUCUCUCUCUAGAAGGUGUAGGGUGGUGAGAAAUGAGAAGGGAAGAGGGUGAAAUGGCUAAUAAGCCCAUCUAGUGUAACAAAAUCCCAAGAGGCCCCUCAAAAACCCAGAAUUACAUCAGCCCGAACUGGGCAGUUUUCGCCCAGAGGGACCGGUCUCUCCCCAGCAGGGACCGGUCUCUCGCUGCGAACCCGAAAAACCAACGUUCGGGAACCGGUCUCUCCCUGCGCGGGACCGGUCUCUCAAUGCGAAGACGCGUUCGGGGACCGGUCUCGCCUGCCAGGGACCGGUUGCCUCAGGCUGCCUCAACACUGCUCACUGGGGGACCGGUCUCUCCUUCCAGGGACCGGUCCCCGAGAGUAGAAACUCUCAGGACUUGUCCAAAAUUCCAGCUUUCGAACUUUUUAGGUCGGCAAACAUUCUACAACCCUCCACCAAGUGUGGAAAAGCUCGAAAUACAUCCAAACACUCGAACCUCGCAAUUUGCAAAGGUCCAGUGUGUUACAGAAGGUAAAGAAUGGUUUGUAACCAUGAGGUGUCUGUUUCCUUCAGCAUCGAGGAGUCGAAUAAUGCACCUAUGAGUGGGUCGAGUAGUUUAGGAAAUAUUAACAGAGACGAUUCUGUAGAUUACCAAGAGAACGGAUCAUCCCGCUGUUUGGAAUCAGUACACUGUGCCUUUAAUCCUAGUACAAAUCCAAAUUGUGGUAGUAUUAGAGUAAACCAAAGUAGCAUUGGAAUGGAUCAGAUAGAAGCAGAGCUUGAAGUUGAACUAGAACUCCUACAACUCAGUAUGAAUGCCAAAAAUUCAGUGCAGCUUCCACCACAUGGAGAAUCGGAGGUAAAACCCUCAUCUAGAGCUUUAUGUUUUUUAUAUGUGGUAGGUUAACUGAUUGAAAUUGUCUAAAAUGCAAGGAAACUCUUUUAAGUAUUCCAGUUUCCCUUGUUCCACCUUGAAGAAUUAAAAGCAAUAUAUAGCACCAUUAAACUGUAAUUUUGUAUCACUUUGCCUCUUUUUGUCAAUGUUGUUCAGGCAAUAUGUAUCAAAUUUCUUGUAUCUCAAUCGGCUAUAAUGUAGGUACUUUUAAUGUUUCAUAAGGGUGAUGCGAAAAUUGUGAUGCUUAUAGAAGGGUUUCCUGCAAUUUAGCCUUGAAAAUAUAUAGCAUUUGCAAUAUGAUCAGUUAUCUGUUCUUUUUAGGAACCCUUUUUUUUUUUCUGGGAAAAGGUUCUUUUUAGAAGCCUUGAGUCCAAUUUAAGCUCAAUGAGUAUGUGACUUCUAAACUACGCUAUAUGAUUUAGCAAUCCUAAGCAACAACAAUAUUUCAAAUUUAAGUCACAAAUCGGUUACUAAUCACAUUAUUUAUGUCUUACUGGAGAAAGUAUUUAUAUUGCGUAAUGUGGAAUUUGAUCAACAAAAUACUUUCAAAAGCAUUAUUCACUUCUUAUUUUCAAAGCAUUCAUUCACCUGCUUACUCAAUUUUUUAACUGUUUUUAAAGAAUGUUCUUUCUACCUAACAAGUUAAAAAAAAAAAAAAAAAAGCUGUUUUGGAAUUUGUAUACAUGUCCAUUAGCAAUCACCUCAAUCACCUUCCUGGUAAGCUGGUAUUGUUAGUGCUUUCUUAGCUCCAGACUUUUGCAAUCUUAGGAUUAAGUUAUGGACUUAACAUGUAAAACUUCUAUUAUUUGGAAGCAAUUUUGCAGCAACUUACAUGAAAACAUUUCAGGUCAAAGAGACAGCAGAUAAUGUAGAUGACGCAAUGAGGGAACUUCAACUGCAAUUUGGUAAGCGUUUUAGAUUUUUUUUUUUUACUUUCACGUUUUUCAUCUUAUAUUUCCAUGUAGUCCAUUGGUCGAUAAUUUAUUUCAUGUUCAGAAACCUGAAGAUUUAUGGGCUAAACACUCGAAAGUGUCCUGCCAAAAUCUCAUAUAAGGGAUAAUUCAUUGUGGAAAGCCAUCAAAAGGUAUGCAUGCUUGAAAAUUUCUCAAAUGUAUUUUGCACAGGUAUCUAUGUCACGCCCCGAGCUCCGCCUAUUGCGUCGGGAUUCGGGCACGCCGACAGACCGCCGAACGACAGAGCCUUCCCUGUACGUUCUAGGCGUCACAAUCUAAAAAUACAAACAUACAAGACGUUCCAAACAGGAACUGUAUUCAACCACAGAUGCAUAAGUAUCAAAACAUAAAACUCUAACUAUGCUAUUACAGAGUAUUCAUCUCAGAAUUUUCAUUUAAAAAUUACAUAAGCCUUAAGUUAUUACAAAACUUAUCAAAUUACUACAAAUUUGUUCAUUCAUCUGAACUUUGAGCUGGACCUUCAGGGUAUUGCUAUCUCGGUUCAGUGGUGGGGCGCUAUCUACGAUGCUACGCCCUGUCCUCACGCGCUGCGCUCGCGCUCGCCGGUGUAACCUUACCCCAAAACAACACGGAGUGAGAACUAUAUAAUAUAGUUCCCAGUGGGUACGCCACCAGAAGAGAGCUCGACCCACCAGGCUCCAAGGAGGCAAAGUAGGUUAGUUCAACAAAUAGAUAGAUAGAUAUUUGACUAUUAACAAAUAAAACCGUACCUUGGCUCGCUGCAUAUGCAAUAUGCAAUACCUGUCAAUCAUGUAGUAGAUUACUUGAUUCUACUUUAUAUCAUUAACCAUUCGUUACUCAUUACUCAAUAGCAUUCUUUUCUUUAUUAGCUAUCACGUUCAUUAGCUAUUCUUUUCUUUAGUCUCUACUCUUUAUUCUUUAUUCUUAUUGUACUCACUGGCGAUGCUUUCCUAAGGGUACUGUACCUUAGCCAUCUAGCCCUCGACUCGGUCUUGAGUCACAACCGCGGAGUACCGCGUCAAGUCAGGCUGAUCGGUGAAGGACGUCUCACAAGACCUCAGCCUUAAAGUCCAUGCGACACUAGGUCCAUCACAGGGAGAGGAGAACCGUCGAUCCUGUGACCUAAAGUCGCUCGCAGCUUAACGGGCGAGGAGAAACCGUCAAACCCGUUAGCUCAACCGGGGAGAGGAGAACCGUCGAUCCCGUUGAAUCACUACCGGAGAGGAGAACCGUUAAUCCCGUAGUUUCGAUUCCCUCAUUUGUUUCAUGGCAUACCGGGAGAGGAGAACCGUCGAUCCCGUUGAAUCACUACCGGGAGAGGAGAUCUGUCACGCCCGGGGUCCCUUUUUAGUUUAAAGCAUAGCGGAAAAGCUCUGAAUUUUUUUUUUGAAACUGACCCCAGGUAUGCAGAUCGCCACAAAUUACAGGAGAUCACUGUUCACAGGACAGAGUCUCCCCUGUAUUUGCACGGCGUCGCACAAGUACAAGAGUUCAAACAUGAUACAACCACAACCAGAUGAACAUACAAAUAACCACAGUUAUAUAUAUCAUUACACCGCCUCUCACACUAUGUCUCUCACCGACAUCUUUUUCUCUCAUUCCAUACCUAUUGUGAUGUAUGCUCGCACCGCCUUGUACCCUCUAUUCAGUACCAAAUCUCUGUCCCAUCACCCCCAGAACAACCCCCGUCUCUCGAACAUUACCCUAGACUUAAACACAUUCCUAUAGGCACCCUCCACGUCAGCCUAUUUCGCUCACUAAUAUGUCUCUUCCCUACACGGCGAACAAUCUACGUUGUCUCUUGGUAAAUACCCACUCUCCCCCGCCGUACCACCGUACACCACUCCUCCCACUCCCAUCGGCUAGGUUAGAAACACUCCUCUCUAUUUCAAGAAAUACAAAUCCUUUAUUACAUUCCAAAACCAACUGAAAACUCAAAUAUUCAGAUAAUAACACAAAACUGAACCAUGUAAACCGACUAAGCUAUAAAUCAACAGAAAUAAUAAGGGUAAUAACUAAAUUGAAAUAACCUGGGUCGGAAGCUCUAUCGACCGCUACACACGUACCUCACGUCUCGUCCCACUAAUCAUCGCCCGCGAUACCUGAAAAAUAGUGGGGGAGGUGAGAACAUAUAAACAUGUCUCCCCUCCCAGUGGGUACCACAAGCCGAAAAAGGCGAGGAGUACUCACCGGAUCAGGAAGAGCUAUACAACAACACGGGUCAGUGGAAAUACAGUAGGAACAAUAGUAAACAAAAGAGAUGUAUAAGGUAAUGAGCAGAUAUACUAAAUACAGUAGCAAUAAACUGAAAGAAAGUAAGAACUAGACUGAAUAACGGCUACCGCUACUGUAACUGGAUCCGAAAGCAUACAUGAAUAUCUACUAUAGUAGCAAGACAACUAUAAAGUAAGAACUGUAAGUAUGCAUGCAACGACUGCUACUAUAGACAUAUGCGUCAACCGGUCAAGAAGUCCAAAAGUACCCAAUCUGAAACCAAUGCUCUCUUGGUCAGCACGGCAGACCUCAAGCCAGUGCCACUACUACUCUCCAGUGCAUAUAACCCCUCUAGGGCUCACGGGUUGUCACAAUUCAACCACUUUUCCGGAAAAGAACACUCCUUACGGUGGAUCAGACCAACAGUGUUCGUGAAAUGCGACGAGUAUCAGGCGAUCAAUACAAUAUGCUCAAUGAUCAACCGUCGGCAACCAGCCGACAAUCCUGCCCCCCAGGGCCCAUCGACCGCAUAGGUCGUCAACUGUAAAGAAGCACAAGAACCGACCACUCAGGUCAACUAGGAUGGGACAACAUCGACAUCCUCUCAAACAUAUGCAAAUACUGCUCAAUGAACCACAAGGACUGACCACUCAGAUCAACUAGGAUAUGAAACUCGACCAAUCACGUCACAAGUACAGGAUAUGAAACUCGACCAAUCAUGUCACAAGUAUAGGAUAUGAAACUCGACCAAUCACGUCACAAGUACAGGAUAUGAAACUUGACCAAUCAUGUCACAAGUAUAGGAUAUGAGUAAAGUAUAAUCAUCCGUCGGGAACUAACCGACAAUCCCACCCCUCAGGGUAUACCGACCUCAACGAUCAUCAGACAACAAAGGUCGAGGAACUCACCGAAUAGGUCACAAAUACUGAAUACUAGAAUCGACCGACUAGAUCGCUAAUCUCACAGAUAAUCACAGAAUCGCUCUACUAUAAAUAUGAAACAGGGUAUGCAGAAUAGCUAAGUAGAGCAACAAAGAAAUAUGGUAUAACUACUCUACUCCUACUCAUGAUAUAAAGAGAACAACCGAGUAGAGUGUAACUGAACAACAUGGUGCUAGGCUCAACACUAUAUAUCAAGAUAUAUAUAUAUGCUAGAUAAUAAUGAAAGAGCAAAGGUAAGAAACCAUCACCGAGCCUGCACCACUGUACCGACGUCGGAUCGAAGUACCCACCUGUACAACUGUCGCGCCUGUCUCCUGACUGCAAAAGAACGUCAACCGGACCUAAGGAGGGUCCACUGGGUUAGUGUCUAACCCACAGCUAAGAAACCCUAAAAGCAUAACCCACAAACAAUCCCACG